AGAGUUUGAUCCUGGCUCAGGAUGAACGCUAGCUACAGGCUUAACACAUGCAAGUCGAGGGGAAACGACAUCGAAAGCUUGCUUUUGAUGGGCGUCGACCGGCGCACGGGUGAGUAACGCGUAUCCAACCUGCCCACCACUUGGGGAUAACCUUGCGAAAGUAAGACUAAUACCCAAUGACGUCUCUAGAAGACAUCUGAAAGAGAUUAAAGAUUUAUCGGUGAUGGAUGGGGAUGCGUCUGAUUAGCUUGUUGGGCGGGGUAACGGCCCACCGAAGGCGACGAUCGAGGUAGGGGUUCUGAGAGGAAGGUCCCCCACAUUGGAACUGAGACGACGGUACCAAACUCCGUACGGGAGGCA
RNAcentral lists this ribosomal RNA (360 nucleotides) under uncultured bacterium. RNAcentral describes it as "bacterial SSU rRNA". It matches the Rfam family "Bacterial small subunit ribosomal RNA", at positions 8 to 350 of the family's 1533-position model. The record is from RNAcentral.